RNAcentral lists this ribosomal RNA (446 nucleotides) under uncultured bacterium. RNAcentral's name for it is "SSU rRNA". It matches the Rfam family "Bacterial small subunit ribosomal RNA", at positions 26 to 518 of the family's 1533-position model. The record is from RNAcentral.
AGAGCGAACGCUGGCGGCAUGCUUAACACAUGCAAGUCGCACGACGGUUUCGGCCGUAGUGGCGGACGGGUGAGUAACGCGUAGGUAUCUAUCCUUGGGUGGGGGAUAACCGUGGGAAACUGCGGCUAAUACCGCAUGACACCUGUGGGUCAAAGGCGCAAGUCGCCUGGGGAGGAGCCUGCGUACGAUUAGCUAGUUGGUGGGGUAAAGGCCUACCAAGGCUACGAUCGUUAGCUGGUCUGAGAGGAUGAUCAGCCACAUUGGGACUGAGACACGGCCCAAACUCCUACGGGAGGCAGCAGUGGGGAAUAUUGGACAAUGGGCGCAAGCCUGAUCCAGCAAUGCCGCGUGGGUGAAGAAGGUUUUCGGAUUGUAAAGCCCUUUCGGCGGGACGAUGAUGACGGUACCGCAGAAGAAGCCCCGGCUAACUUCGUGCCAGCAGCCGC